Molecule: ribosomal RNA, 504 nt
Filed under: uncultured bacterium
Lineage: Bacteria
Description: partial 16S ribosomal RNA
Rfam family: Bacterial small subunit ribosomal RNA
Source: RNAcentral
AUUGAACGCUGGCGGCACGCCUAACACAUGCAAGUCGAGCGGUAACAUGAGUUGUAGCAAUACAACUUGAUGACGAGCGUCGGACGGGUGAGGAACACGUAGGGACCUGCCCACGAGAGGGGGAUAACUAAGGGAAACUUUAGCUAAUACCGCAUAAUCACUGAGGAGAAAAGUGGCCCGCAGGGGUGACGCUUUUGGAGGGGCCUGCGUCCGAUUAGUUAGUUGGUGAGGUAAUGGCUCACCAAGACGAUGAUCGGUAACUGGUCUGAGAGGACGACCAGUCACACUGGGACUGAGACACGGCCCAGACUCCUACGGGAGGCAGCAGUGGGGAAUCUUGGACAAUGGGGGCAACCCUGAUCCAGCGAUGCCGCGUGGGUGAAGAAGGCCUUCGGGUUGUAAAGCCCUUUCAGCGGGGAGGAAGGUGUUGUGGUUAAUAACCGCAGCAAUUGACGUUACCCGCAGAAGAAGCACCGGCUAACUCCGUGCCAGCCGCCGCGGUAA